RNAcentral lists this unclassified non-coding RNA (236 nucleotides) under plant metagenome. Its description in RNAcentral is "partial contains small subunit ribosomal RNA, internal transcribed spacer 1, and 5.8S ribosomal RNA". The record is from RNAcentral.
UUUCCGUAGGUGAACCUGCGGAAGGAUCAUUACUGAGUGAGGGCCCCUCGGGGUCCAACCUCCCACCCGUGUUUAACGAACCUUGUUGCUUCGGCGGGCCCGCCUCACGGCCGCCGGGGGGCAUCUGCCCCCGGGCCCGCGCCCGUCGAAGCCACCUGUGAACGCUGUCUGAAGUAUGCAGUCUGAGACAAUUAUUAAAUUAAUUAAAACUUUCAACAACGGAUCUCUUGGUUCCG